This 1438-nucleotide ribosomal RNA is filed under the name uncultured organism. Its description in RNAcentral is "SSU rRNA". It matches the Rfam family "Bacterial small subunit ribosomal RNA". The record is from RNAcentral.
GAACGCUAGCUACAGGCUUAACACAUGCAAGUCGAGGGGCAGCAUGGUCUUAGCUUGCUAAGGCCGAUGGCGACCGGCGCACGGGUGAGUAACACGUAUCCAACCUGCCGUCUACUCUUGGACAGCCUUCUGAAAGGAAGAUUAAUACAAGAUGGCAUCAUGAGUCCGCAUGUUCACAUGAUUAAAGGUAUUCCGGUAGACGAUGGGGAUGCGUUCCAUUAGAUAGUAGGCGGGGUAACGGCCCACCUAGUCUUCGAUGGAUAGGGGUUCUGAGAGGAAGGUCCCCCACAUUGGAACUGAGACACGGUCCAAACUCCUACGGGAGGCAGCAGUGAGGAAUAUUGGUCAAUGGGCGAGAGCCUGAACCAGCCAAGUAGCGUGAAGGAUGACUGCCCUAUGGGUUGUAAACUUCUUUUAUAAAGGAAUAAAGUCGGGUAUGCAUACCCGUUUGCAUGUACUUUAUGAAUAAGGAUCGGCUAACUCCGUGCCAGCAGCCGCGGUAAUACGGAGGAUCCGAGCGUUAUCCGGAUUUAUUGGGUUUAAAGGGAGCGUAGAUGGAUGUUUAAGUCAGUUGUGAAAGUUUGCGGCUCAACCGUAAAACUGCAGUUGAUACUGGAUAUCUUGAGUGCAGUUGAGGCAGGCGGAAUUCGUGGUGUAGCGGUGAAAUGCUUAGAUAUCACGAAGAACUCCGAUUGCGAAGGCAGCCUGCUAAGCUGCAACUGACAUUGAGGCUCGAAAGUGUGGGUAUCAAACAGGAUUAGAUACCCUGGUAGUCCACACGGUAAACGAUGAAUACUCGCUGUUUGCGAUAUACGGCAAGCGGCCAAGCGAAAGCGUUAAGUAUUCCACCUGGGGAGUACGCCGGCAACGGUGAAACUCAAAGGAAUUGACGGGGGCCCGCACAAGCGGAGGAACAUGUGGUUUAAUUCGAUGAUACGCGAGGAACCUUACCCGGGCUUAAAUUGCAGAUGAAUUACGGUGAAAGCCGUAAGCCGCAAGGCAUCUGUGAAGGUGCUGCAUGGUUGUCGUCAGCUCGUGCCGUGAGGUGUCGGCUUAAGUGCCAUAACGAGCGCAACCCUUGUUGUCAGUUACUAACAGGUUCCGCUGAGGACUCUGACAAGACUGCCAUCGUAAGAUGUGAGGAAGGUGGGGAUGACGUCAAAUCAGCACGGCCCUUACGUCCGGGGCUACACACGUGUUACAAUGGGGGGUACAGAGGGCCGCUACCACGCGAGUGGAUGCCAAUCCCAAAAACCUCUCUCAGUUCGGACUGGAGUCUGCAACCCGACUCCACGAAGCUGGAUUCGCUAGUAAUCGCGCAUCAGCCACGGCGCGGUGAAUACGUUCCCGGGCCUUGUACACACCGCCCGUCAAGCCAUGGGAGCCGGGGGUACCUGAAGUGCGUAACCGCGAGGAGCGCCCUAGGGUAAAACUGAAG